GUCCACGCCCUAAACGAUGUCGACUAGUCGUUCGGAGCAGCAAUGCACUGAGUGACGCAGCUAACGCGUGAAGUCGACCGCCUGGGGAGUACGGCCGCAAGGUUAAAACUCAAAGGAAUUGACGGGGACCCGCACAAGCGGUGGAUGAUGUGGAUUAAUUCGAUGCAACGCGAAAAACCUUACCUACCCUUGACAUGUCUGGAACCUUGGUGAGAGCCGAGGGUGCCUUCGGGAACUUACAUACAGGUGCUGCAUGGCUGUCGU
Molecule: ribosomal RNA, 264 nt
Filed under: uncultured bacterium
Lineage: Bacteria
Description: partial 16S ribosomal RNA
Rfam family: Bacterial small subunit ribosomal RNA
Source: RNAcentral